RNAcentral lists this ribosomal RNA (476 nucleotides) under Psammomacrostomum sp. 4 TJ-2015. Its description in RNAcentral is "partial 16S ribosomal RNA". Lineage: Eukaryota; Metazoa; Platyhelminthes; Macrostomidae. The record is from RNAcentral.
UAAUAAAAACAUAGUUUUAAGAAACUAAUUAAGAUAAUUUYUGCUCAAUGAAAAAAUUUUUAUAAAUAGCUAUAGUAAUUUUUGACUAUACGAAGGUAGCAUAAUUAAUUGUUAUAUAAUUGAUAACUUGUUUGAAAGGAUAAAUUGAAAGAAAAAAAAUUUUAAAAUUUUAAUAAAAUUUUUAAUGUAAGUUAAAAUACUUAAAUAAGUGUAUAAGAUGAUAAGACCCUAAAAAUUUUAAAAUUUUUAAAAAAAAUAAUUUUUUUUUGGGAUAAAAUAAAUUUUAUAUAAAAUUUUUAAUAUAGGGACCAUUCUGGGGCUUAGUUGAAUUACUUUAGGGGUAACAGGAUAAAAUUUUAUUUUAGUACAAAUAAAAUAUAUUUUUUAUUACAUCGAUGUUGAAUUAUAAAAAUUAAAUUGAUGAAAUCAUCAAUAAAAAAAGUCUGUUCGACUAUUUUAUUUAUACAUGAUUUGAG